UGUACAAUACAGACCUAGUGGAGAGAUGAGCCAAUUUUGUGAUUAUCUGACAACCUGCUCGGGUGAAUUGUCCCCUUUUCUGCCACCCAUUUUUUCAGUGGUCAAAAAUGGCUUUCAAUAGCUGGUCUUGACUAGUUGUGAUGCAUUGUUUUGAUCGGCGACGACGACACACUUUUCCUAGCCAGCUUUUAUAAGUUAUUCAUAACGUUCUGUCGGUUCUGUCCGUUGAUUGUCGACUGUCAACCUUUCUGGGUGACCAGGAACACAUCUGGUGGAAUUCAUUUUCAUGUCUUGGUCAAGAUUAGGCAGGAGUGGUUCCUGGCCAAAUCGCAAGAUUUCACCCAUUUAGAGCAUGUUGGAUCGCUGGUAGCUUCUCAACUCCAGUCAAAUCCAGGAACAAAAUAUAACCCACAAUGCUACAAAAACAACUCUAUCCAUCCACCAAUCUUGAGAACUCGAAUUGCACAGAAUGGAGAUCCACCGAAAGGCGGACUGAGCCUGGGAAGGAGAUCAUCCAUUUUCAUCAAUCUUACUAAUCUGACCACUAAUCAAUCACUUCGUCACUUGCUGGGGCCAGAAAAUUUCGCACAGGAAUGACAAAUCCGUG
Tigriopus californicus is the source of this 607-nucleotide long non-coding RNA. RefSeq lists it as uncharacterized. NCBI's taxonomy places the organism in Eukaryota, Metazoa, Arthropoda, Copepoda, Harpacticoida, Harpacticidae. The record is from RefSeq and is a predicted model, not a curated record. The transcript is spliced from 3 exons.